This 776-nucleotide ribosomal RNA is filed under the name uncultured Neocallimastigales. Its description in RNAcentral is "partial large subunit ribosomal RNA". It matches the Rfam family "Eukaryotic large subunit ribosomal RNA", at positions 23 to 640 of the family's 3401-position model. The record is from RNAcentral. Lineage: Eukaryota; Fungi; Neocallimastigomycota; Neocallimastigomycetes; Neocallimastigales.
AGAGAGAGACAUGCGCGCAUAUCAAUAAGCGGAGGAAAAGAAACUAACUAGGAUUCCCUCAGUAACGGCGAGUGAAGCGGGAAGAGCUCAAAUUUGAAAUCUUCAAGGUUUUACCUUGACGAAUUGUAGUUUAAAGAAGUGUUUUCUGUUGGAGUUUUGGUAAAAGUUCUUUGGAAUAGGACAUCAUAGAGGGUGAGAAUCCCGUAUUUGACCAUUAUUUCCAGCUUUGUGAUACACUUUCAAAGAGUCGGAUUGUUUGGGUAAUGCAGUCCAAAAUGGGUGGUAAAUUUCAUCUAAAGCUAAAUACUGGCGAGAGACCGAUAGCGAACAAGUACCGUGAGGGAAAGAUGAAAAGAACUUUGAAAAGAGAGUUAAACAGUACGUGAAAUUGUCAAAAGGGAAAGCGUUUGACACCAGUGUUGUUUUCUCGAAAAUCAAUUAAAAAAGGCAGGAUUUUGUGUUGUAUUGACUUUAUCAGCUUUCUGCACUCUUUUCUUGUCUUUUUUAAUGCACUUUUCGUUUAACAAGUCAACAUCAAUUUCUUUUGUUGUAAAAGGGUCAUUGGAAGGUGGCUUUCUUUUCGGAGAAAGUGUUUAUAGCCUUUGGCCUCUGCAAUCGGAGAGAUUGAGGUCUGCAGCGUAGAUCCUUCGGGGUUAGAUACAUUUGUGCUAAGUUAUAGCCUUUCAUAGACAACUUGUUGACUAUGAUCAGUCAUGUAGCUUACUCGCUUAUGCUAUUUUACCUACGCUUAGGAUGUUGAUGUGAUACUGCGAGCA